UACGGGGGGUGCAAACGUUGCUCGGAAUUAUUGGGCGUAAAGCGCACGUAGGCGGUCUUGUAAGUCGGGUGUGAAAGCCCGGGGCUUAACCCCGGAAGUGCACUCGAAACUGCAAGGCUUGAGUAUGGAAGAGGGUCUCGGAAUUCCCGGUGUAGAGGUGAAAUUCGUAGAUAUCGGGAGGAACACCAGUGGCGAAGGCGGAGACCUGGGCCAAUACUGACGCUGAGGUGCGAAAGCGUGGGGAGCAAACAGG
This 253-nucleotide ribosomal RNA is filed under the name Sorangiineae bacterium. RNAcentral's name for it is "partial 16S ribosomal RNA". It matches the Rfam family "Bacterial small subunit ribosomal RNA", at positions 524 to 776 of the family's 1533-position model. Lineage: Bacteria; Pseudomonadati; Myxococcota; Myxococcia; Myxococcales. The record is from RNAcentral. RNAcentral also lists the same sequence under 1 other name.